This 24-nucleotide non-coding RNA is filed under the name Mus musculus (house mouse). The record is from RNAcentral. Lineage: Eukaryota; Metazoa; Chordata; Mammalia; Rodentia; Muridae.
UGAUUGGUCCUGGAAGCUACUGUU